AGAAUUGAUCUGGUCAGGACGAACGCUGGCGGCGUGCCUAACACAUGCAAGUCGAGCGAUGAAACCCUCGGGGUGGAUUAGCGGCGGACGGGUGAGUAACACGUGGGUAACCUGCCUCAAAGAGGGGGAUAGCCUCCCGAAAGGGAGAUUAAUACCGCAUAACAUUAUUUUUUCGCAUGAAGAGAUAAUCAAAGGAGUAAUCCGCUUUGAGAUGGACCCGCGGCGCAUUAGCUAGUUGGUGAGGUAAUGGCUCACCAAGGCAACGGUGCGUAGCCGACCUGAGAGGGUGAUCGGCCACAUUGGAACUGAGAUACGGUCCAGACUCCUACGGGAGGCAGCAGUGGGGAAUAUUGCGCAAUGGGGGAAACCCUGACGCAGACCAACGCUGCGUGGGUGAAGAAGGCCUUCGGGUUGUAAAGCUCUGUCUUCUGGGACGAUAAUGACGGUACCAGAGGAGGAAGCCACGGCUAACUACGUGCCAGCAGCAGC
Molecule: ribosomal RNA, 489 nt
Filed under: uncultured bacterium
Lineage: Bacteria
Description: bacterial SSU rRNA
Rfam family: Bacterial small subunit ribosomal RNA
Source: RNAcentral